Molecule: unclassified non-coding RNA, 302 nt
Filed under: Agaricaceae sp.
Lineage: Eukaryota; Fungi; Basidiomycota; Agaricomycetes; Agaricales; Agaricaceae
Description: partial contains 5.8S ribosomal RNA, internal transcribed spacer 2, and large subunit ribosomal RNA
Source: RNAcentral
CGCACCUUGCACUCCUUGGUAUUCCGAGGAGUAUGCCUGUUUGAGUGUCAGUAAAUUCUCAAACCCUUCCAGCUUUCGUGGUUGGUUUUCAAGGGCUUGGAUACUGGAGGUUUUGCUGGCCUUUCUAGGUCAGCUCCUCUGAAAUGCAUUAGUGGAACUGUUUGCAAUCUAUAGCAGGUGUGAUAGUUAUCUACGCCAGUUGAGGUUGCUCUCCGUCCGUUCUGCUUCCAACUGUCUAGUUGUAGACAAACUAUUACUGAACUUUUGACCUCAAAUCAGGUAGGACUACCCGCUGAACUUAA